CAGCCGCGGGAAUACGAAGGGGGCUAGCGUUGUUCGGAUUUACUGGGCGUAAAGGGCGCGUAGGCGGGCGAUUUAGUCAGGGGUGAAAUCCCAAGGCUCAACCUUGGAACUGCCUUUGAUACUGAUCGUCUUGAGUUCGAGAGAGGUAAGUGGAACUGCGAGUGUAGAGGUGAAAUUCGUAGAUAUUCGCAAGAACACCAGUGGCGAAGGCGGCUUACUGGCUCGAUACUGACGCUGAGGCGCGAAAGCGUGGGGAGCAAACAGGAUUAGAUACCCCCGUAGUCCCUGUCUCUUAUACACA
Molecule: ribosomal RNA, 301 nt
Filed under: uncultured bacterium
Lineage: Bacteria
Description: partial 16S ribosomal RNA
Rfam family: Bacterial small subunit ribosomal RNA
Source: RNAcentral